RNAcentral lists this ribosomal RNA (162 nucleotides) under Abies beshanzuensis. Its description in RNAcentral is "5.8S ribosomal RNA". It matches the Rfam family "5.8S ribosomal RNA". Rfam says of the family: 5.8S ribosomal RNA (5.8S rRNA) is a component of the large subunit of the eukaryotic ribosome. It is transcribed by RNA polymerase I as part of the 45S precursor that also contains 18S and 28S rRNA. Lineage: Eukaryota; Viridiplantae; Streptophyta; Pinopsida; Pinales; Pinaceae. The record is from RNAcentral.
CAAAUGACUCUCGGCAACGGAUAUCUCGGCUCUGGUUACGAUGAAGAAAGUAGCGAAAUACGAUACUUAGUGUGAAUUGCAGAAUCCCGUGAAUCAUCGAGUCUUUGAACGCAAUUUGCCCCCGAGACCUCGGUAGAGGGCACGUUUGUGUGGGCGUCGCAU